GUGUCAGCCGCCGCGGUAAUACGAACCGGGCUAGCGUUGUUCGGAUUUACUCCGCGUAAAGCGCACGUAGGCGGACUAUUAAGUCAGGGGUGAAAUCCCGGGGCUCAACCCCGGAACUGCCAUUGAUACUGGUAGUCUUGAGUUCGAGAGAGGUGAGUGGAACUCCGAGUGUAGAGGUGAAAUUGGUAGAUAUUCGGAGGAACACCAGUGGCGAAGGCGGCUCACUGGCUCGAUACUGACGCUGAGGUGCGAAAGCGUGGGGAGCAAACAGAAUUAGAUACCCUGGUAGUCC
RNAcentral lists this ribosomal RNA (292 nucleotides) under uncultured prokaryote. RNAcentral describes it as "partial 16S ribosomal RNA". It matches the Rfam family "Bacterial small subunit ribosomal RNA", at positions 505 to 796 of the family's 1533-position model. The record is from RNAcentral.